RNAcentral lists this long non-coding RNA (867 nucleotides) under Manihot esculenta (cassava). RNAcentral describes it as "long non-coding RNA (MESC_LNC001423)". The record is from RNAcentral. Lineage: Eukaryota; Viridiplantae; Streptophyta; Magnoliopsida; Malpighiales; Euphorbiaceae.
CCUGCGUUGCUACACCAGCUCUAAAGCCUCAUGAAUGGUUUCAAUUGUUACCUUGGGCUGAAUUUUGUUACAACUCCAGUUUACAUACUUCCACUAGAAAAACUCCUUUUGAAGUGGUAUAUGGAAGAGCAGCUCCUAGCUUGCUCAACUAUAUUCCUGGAACUGCUAAAGUUGAGGCUAUUAAUCAGACUUUGCAAGAACGUAAUCAAAUUCUGCAGGAACUGAGGUCUCAGUUACAACAAACAUAAGCUCAAAUGAAGUAUGCUUAUGACCAGGAAAGAGUUGUUGGAGACUGGAUAUAUUUGCAUUUGCAGUCAUACAAACAAACUUCCUUGGCAUUACCAAAGUCGCACAAGCUCUCACCUUGUUUUUAUGGGCCAUAUCGAGUGUUGGAGCGUAUUGAACCAGUUGCCUACCGCUUGAACUUUCCUGCUGGCAGUAAAAUUCAUCCAGUGUUCUAUAUUUUCCCCUUAAAGAAGCAAUUAUCUGCAAGGAACAGACAGAUUCUUAUUUACCAAUUAUGUUGCACAGCUCCAGCAAGCUACAUCCUCCGUCUGUGGCAAUUUUAGACUAUCGCACAAAGGGAAGAAAACAUGACUUACUUGUGCAAUAGCAAGGUCUCCCAGCAACAGAAGCUGCUAUUUGUUAGUUUAAGAGUUGUUUGUGAUUGGGCGUUCAAAAUUUAUAAAUUAUGCAUACCUGAAUCAAUAAAAGAUACCAGAAAAUUCCACACUUAUCUUAUUUGCUGCUGUCUAACAUUUUCUUCUAUCUCUACAAAUUAUUCUCUUGUCUAGUAAAAAUAGCCAGGGGACAAGGAAAAGACGGGCCAUUAAGCAAGACGAUGACAGGGAGUAAAGUGCACAUUCU